AUUUUUUGAAUACUUAUCUUUAACUGAUUUGCUCGCAGCAGGUUGCAUUCGAUUAGGAAUCAUAUCCUAUUGUUUCCUGCGGUAAAUUGGCCGUAUCAUGGGCUCUGAAGCUAUGGCUAAAAUACAAUUGUUGAUCUCAGGCUGAAAACCUCUUGAAACUCGCAAUAAAAAAACAAUUUUCGAUUCUAGAAACUCUUAAAAAAAUCUCUGCCAGAUUAUGGGAGCUGAAUGAAACAAUUUUCGAAGCCAUUCGAUCUUCAGACAGAACCAAUCUGUUGAUAAUGGGCUAGUCAUGACCAGUUUUCUGCAUACUCUCUCCAUCGACGCCAGGAAAAUUACUCUCACCCCUGGACCCUACAUAUUGUACUCAUCAACACAUAAGCCGGGACCUAUGGCGGAAGGCGUGACCAAAAAUUUACCGUCUCAACUGAUGCCAACGGUGCCGAGUAGAAUCCAGGCAUACUGGAAAGUUAGUCAGUCCGAUGUACUUAGUGUGCACGCCUUGCAACUCUCCUGGCUCCUCCUAACACCGAGCCUCUAGUCCUGAGCUCCUCCUCGCCGAACAAUUCCUCCUGGCCCAAUCCGUUGCCCGUACAAAUGGCCUCUAUCCGACGUUUGCACCGAGGUUUGCACAACACCCUCUGUUGACCAGCUCCUGAAUGUUCCGACGCUCCUCCUGGACUCUUGCUGACCAGCCAGCAUCCUACCGUCACACACUACCUGAUAUUCCAACAAAUAAAAUCGAUCUAUUUAAUAAAAAUAAAUCACCCUA
Molecule: long non-coding RNA, 772 nt
Organism: Armigeres subalbatus
Lineage: Eukaryota; Metazoa; Arthropoda; Insecta; Diptera; Culicidae
Exons: 2
Source: RefSeq, a predicted model, not a curated record